CCAAACUGUUGCCUCGGCGGGGUCACGCCCCGGGUGCGUCGCAGCCCCGGAACCAGGCGCCCGCCGGAGGGACCAACCAAACUCUUUUCUGUAGUCCCCUCGCGGACGUUAUUUCUUACAGCUCUGAGCAAAAAUUCAAAAUGAAUCAAAACUUUCAACAACGGAUCUCUUGGUUCUGGCAUCGAUGAAGAACGCAGCGAAAUGCGAUAAGUAAUGUGAAUUGCAGAAUUCAGUGAAUCAUCGAAUCUUUGAACGCACAUUGCGCCCGCCAGUAUUCUGGCGGGCAUGCCUGUCCGAGCGUCAUUUCAACCCUCGAACCCCUCCGGGGGGUCGGCGUUGGGGACCUCGGGAGCCCCUAAGACGGGAUCCCGGCCCCGAAAUACAGUGGCGGUCUCGCCGCAGCCUCUCCUGCGCAGUAGUUUGCACAACUCGCACCGGGAGCGCGGCGCGUCCACGUCCGUAAAACACCCAACUUCUGAAAUGUUGACCUCGGAUCAGGUAGGAAUACCCGCUGAACUUAAGCAUAUCAAUAAGCCGGAGGAAAUCCC
RNAcentral lists this ribosomal RNA (548 nucleotides) under Trichoderma atroviride. RNAcentral describes it as "eukaryotic LSU rRNA". The stretch from base 150 to 303 matches the Rfam family "5.8S ribosomal RNA". Lineage: Eukaryota; Fungi; Ascomycota; Sordariomycetes; Hypocreales; Hypocreaceae. The record is from RNAcentral.